GUGUAAGAAUGGGAGACAAAAGUUACACAGUACAUUUAAUAUAAGACCCUAUUAUAUAAAAUCACAUGUUUAAAAAAGCCUAACAAACUGACUGCUGCAGAGUUGGGGCAACCUGAACUCCUUUAAAUAACAGGUAACUCUACCAAGCAACUCUUGUUUUAGAAAAGUGGUGGUGUUGGUUUUGUUUGUUUGUUUGUUUUAAACUUCUCUGGUAUUUUGUGUUAUUAGGCGUAAGGCCAAAAAGUUCAUGACCAACCUACUCUGAUUCUCCCAUAUGACAGAUCAAAUAAGUUUAUUCAGUUACUCCUGUUUGAGAUCCUAUGCUGUGUAUGGCUGAAUCUUGUAAAAAGAAAAAAAGCUGCAUUUGAAGCUAUCAAGAAAUUCAAGCGCUUUCUUUCAAUUCCAUUCUAAAAGUCAACUUCUGCUACUGGAAGUUAGGAAUGAAGUGCAGAUCUAAAUAUCCUUUCCAGUUAUCCCCUUCUUCACAAUGUUAAAAGCUUUGCUAAUAUUAGGCUCUUCCUCUACAGACACUCAAAUACAACAGUUUAAUUGUUUCCUGAUUUUCUUUUCCAUCCUUUUUGUCCAGGCACGCAGUUUUGAAUCACUGAAGUUGUGCUUCCUCAGCUGUGGUAUGCAAAAUCACUUCCAAUGGCAAUGGAUGUUCAGCAGUAAAGCUCAAUUCCAAUUACAAAGUGGUUAGAUAUUAGAGAUGGGGGCAUUUGCCUUCAGGUCUCAUAAAAGCCCCUAAAAGUGGAGCUGCUGGCACAGAGGAGUACUGCUUCACAAUCUGCAGAGUUUUCUCCAUGAAAGCCAGGAUGAUGAAGGGCACUGAGAGAGGCAGCAGCACAGAUCCUGCAGUCCUUGAGGGCAGAGCUGCUCCAGGAAAUGAUUAAAACUUCUGUUGGGAAACCAGAAAAAAGGCAACACUGUGUUUCAGUGACAGUUUUGCUUCCUGCACUGCUUUGUUUUUAACUGAUUUGAAGUAAAGAAGACAACCUUCAUCAAAUAAUUAUGUGGGGAGCGGACAGGAAAGCACAGCUAAGGAUUUUCUCACUAGUCUUAAAAAUUUUCUAAGCUCUGGGCUAAACUGACAUUUCCACAAACAAAGAAAAGUUUAUUUCCUAACAGAACUACAAAUUCAAUUGUAAUCAACAUAUGAAAGUAAGACAUCAUAAACACAAGUGUGCCAACAAUGGAGAGGCUGCAAUAAAACUCACUGUCAGGGAGACAGGAAAAGAAGAAAAAUGGAAAAGAAGCCAGGAAAGAGGAGGUGGAGACCUUUUUCUGGCACACUCACUGUUGUACACUUGCCAAAGGAGGCAGCUAUUUUGAUCACACAGUAGGUGAGAGCACAAGAAUACGAAAAGGAUCCUAACUCUCAUAAAUGCAAGAGGAUAACAGACGGUCCCAAAUAAGGAUGAAAACACCAUUAUUUAUCACAAGGAAAAGUACAGCAGCAUCUGAAUUGACUGAGAGUCAGUUGUGUGCUGGAAUCUGAAGAGCUGGAACAGAAAACCAAACUGUGGUCUGUAAAGUGUUUGCCUGCUGUCUGGUAAGAGCAGACAGCCUUGCAGGUGCUCACUGGACCCACACUGCACGGAAAACACACUGUUGUUAAAAUGGUGGGGUGAAAACUCAGUUGCAGCUGGAGUACAUACCAUACAAGUACCAGGAGAGCAUUCUUAGACACAAGAACAUGAAAAAAGAGACAGCAGCACAAUGAGAAUCCUGGAAUGAACAGCUGAAGGAGGAACCCACCCACCCGUGGCUGCAUCUGCUGGCAUUUCAGCAUGUAGAACAAGGACAGCUUUAAAUAGCAGUAGAGAGAACAAAACCUCGUGUGAUCAGCAUGUGCUCCUGAAUCAGAUACUGCACAGCACUUUGCUACAAACAGGAUUAUCAGUGGGGCAGAGCAUCAACAAACAUUCAAGUCAGCAAGCGAAUACUUAUCAUCUAAUGUAUGCGGUAUCAAAACCACACAUCUCUCACAAAACCCUACAGUUUGAGAAGUGCUAGUUCCCAAGAAAUCAUAUCGACUGGCACUAAUUACAGCUUUUAUCACCUGAGAAAAGUUACCAAAAAACACUGAUCUCAGAAAUACCCUUCUUCAAACAUUCACACAUAUCUAUUAGUCAUAUUUUACAGGUAAGAAAAUUAUCUAUGAAAUUGUGAAUGAAUAAAUACUUCUGUAUCUAACAAAUACGGGACAAAAACAUUCUCUGUAUUAAAUCUUUUAAGCACUGCAGUGCUUGAUGAGAUGAUGUUCUUCUGUUUACAUCCUAAAAUAACCUUCAGCAAAAGUGAUGCAUUUUCAGCUAUUAUAUUUGCUGUUCAAGUAAUGAAUUUACAGUAAUGAUGAAAAACCCAAAUCCAGAACAGUGAAGCACAGCUCUCUAAAUAAAUUCUUUACUUUUUUGCCCUUACACAUCCAGGCCAGCAUAAAUACAAUUCAUAAUGAAGAAAGAGACAACAUCUACUCAGGAGAUCACAAAUGAUUUCUACUAAGAACACUUGAAAAAACUGAAUGGGCUUGGAAAGUAGGGAGCUUUUUUUAAGAUGCAUCACAUCUUUAGAAGGCUUCCAGGGAAACACAACAAAUCAACAACUGAAUAUAGUGAGCCCCUUGAAUUCCAUUUUAUUAAUCUUGCCUGGGGACAAAAGCUACAGAUAAGUUUCUAUUUAAAAAAGGAUACACGCUGCAACUUUAUUUAUGGCUUAUGGCUUCAGACAUCCAAACACUUUUCUGCUUAUGUAUGUUUGCAAGUGUACAUAGACAUAGCAGAAAGCCAGCUUUGACCUAAUUCUCACCUUACUCAGAUCUGUAUUUAGAAGUUGCAGAAUGAUGUGAAGGCUGGGAGAUGAGAGCACUGCCACCUUGUGCCAGCAAAAUCAAAUCUGAAGCCUAACAAAUAAGACUACAAACUAAAACUAAUCCCAGAACAUGUUCUGCCUUUGAAGUCUGACUGUUAUUUGAGAUCAGAUGCUUGAUACUGAAUUAUGAAAAGGUGCAGUGGUAUAAGGCUUUAGGAACAUCUUAAACCAAUUAUUUAAACAAAAUCAGCAUGUCUCGCAGCAGUUACUCUUAUUAGACUUGCCAUUACAACAUCCCAGGUUUAAUCACUCAUACCUAUCAUAACAUUCAAUCUCUAAAGUUGAGAGCUUUGCAAAUAGCUAUCUUCUGACCUUCUGGUUUCAUUUUGUUAUGGGCCAGGCUAUUUAUUUAUUUAUUUAAAGUUACACUGGGCCACACACAAUUGUGGAUUGACAUUUAUACAGGAAAUGCUAAGUCACAGCCUGAAGCAGAGACUGAGCACCUGGUAGGAAGGCAGGGCCAAACCAGAGGAGCACAGAUGUAAGCAAUGCACCUGAGUAAUCAGAAGGGGUUGAGCCAGGAUCCACUCUUUCCCAGACCUCAUUUAAGGGCUGGCAGAGGAGGUGAGAGCAUCUCUUGUAGAUCCUACCUACCUGAGGCCUUCCAAGGUAAGCAGCUCUUUUUCUGCAUUUCUGCAGCUGCUGUGUUUGGGCUCACAUGCUGUAGCCAAAGACUUUCCCACCCUGUUAUUAUCACUGUACUUUCCAUCCCAUUAUCACAUUAUAAUGUAUGAAGCUCUCUUUUGAAAUGCUUUCAUACAGCCAUGCUGUAAGAAAAGGGAUGUACAGUUUUUACUGUGUACGUAUUUAAAUACCUGAGUCAAGAUAAACUUUAGAAAGCUGUGAAGAAUUCUGAAGAUACUUAUAUAUACCUACAGUCUAUGGGGGGUGGGAGAGAAAAUCCUCUCAGCAGUUCAUUCUUAUUUAAAGUACAAAUACUAUAUUGAGCUUUAAAUAAUAAUGUGGAAGACCUGGACUUUAUUCUGUUUACUUACUGAUUAAAAUACAGCCUACUCAGUGAUGUUUCCAUGAAUUUCCUUCACAAGACGUAUUAAUACAAGCAAUAAAAACAAAAUAGUAGU
Molecule: non-coding RNA, 3953 nt
Organism: Coturnix japonica (Japanese quail)
Lineage: Eukaryota; Metazoa; Chordata; Aves; Galliformes; Phasianidae
Source: RefSeq, a predicted model, not a curated record